AGGGGCGGGGACCCCCUCCUAUGGUGCCUGCUCUCCUCCCUACCCCCACCCGGCCCUGAGCAGUGCCCACGUGGCUCUCCAGGAGCAUUUCCCAGCUUUUUUUUUUUUUUUUUAACUUUUAUUAGCUCAGACUCCUGGCUGCUGCAGCCAUAUGGAGCUCUGCCGACGGCUGCUGCUCAAAGAGAUGUGGCAUUUUGUUGUUUCUAACUUUAUCUUAACCAGGAGAGACACAGGAGCACAGCUGAGAGUGGGGAGUGCCCUCGU
RNAcentral lists this small RNA (264 nucleotides) under Homo sapiens (human). Its description in RNAcentral is "nc077 non-coding RNA". The record is from RNAcentral. Lineage: Eukaryota; Metazoa; Chordata; Mammalia; Primates; Hominidae.